Molecule: long non-coding RNA, 243 nt
Filed under: Daucus carota (carrot)
Lineage: Eukaryota; Viridiplantae; Streptophyta; Magnoliopsida; Apiales; Apiaceae
Description: long non-coding RNA (DCAR_LNC005482)
Source: RNAcentral
GAAGUGCCUCAUCAAAGGAAAUUAGGAUUACUGAUAGUAAUUCAGAGAACACGACUAUCAAAUCAUUGGGCCUCCACCAUUUGAGAUUAUUGGUUAGGUAACCUACUAGUUACCUAGUAUUUAUUGCUAUGCCAGGGGAUAAACAUCAAUUUUACCUUAUAAAUUUUCGUCACAAAUAACUUCUGCACUAUCAUUGACUACUCAGAUAUCUACCCCCAUAUUUCAUUCUUUCAUUACCCAUAU